UACGUAGGGGGCAAGCGUUGUCCGGAAUCAUUGGGCGUAAAGAGCGUGUAGGCGGCUCGGUAAGUCCGCUGUGAAAGUCAAAGGCUCAACCUUUGAAUGUCAGCGGAUACUGCCGGGCUAGAGUCCGGAAGAGGCGAGUGGAAUUCCUGGUGUAGCGGUGGAAUGCGCAGAUAUCAGGAGGAACACCAACGGCGAAGGCAGCUCGCUAGGACGGUACUGACGCUGAGACGCGAAAGCGUGGGGAGCAAACAGG
RNAcentral lists this ribosomal RNA (253 nucleotides) under uncultured bacterium. Its description in RNAcentral is "partial 16S ribosomal RNA". It matches the Rfam family "Bacterial small subunit ribosomal RNA", at positions 524 to 776 of the family's 1533-position model. The record is from RNAcentral.